Molecule: long non-coding RNA, 817 nt
Organism: Diabrotica virgifera virgifera (western corn rootworm)
Lineage: Eukaryota; Metazoa; Arthropoda; Insecta; Coleoptera; Chrysomelidae
Exons: 3
Source: RefSeq, a predicted model, not a curated record
UGAAACAAUAAAUAUUAUGCUUUGUCAUAAUUUAAAACUCAUUAUGUUGAAGUCUUUUCCAGUUGAUAAAAUUGCAAUUCAAAAACUUUUAGGUAGAUUUGUACUGUAUGGAUGGCACAGGAAGAGAACAGAGAACAAGAGUACAAGAACAUGAAACAUCUUAUUAUGAAUGUAUAUGUAUGUGAUCCUCAAAAAAUUAUUUUUCAAAACAAGAUAGAGAAUGAGCUUUAAAAUCCCAAGGAUCCUGCAAAAUGUCUAUUUGGUGUACUAGUCGAAUAAUAGUACCUAUCUAAAAAUAAUGAAACUGUUUUAAAACACAUUAUGGGCAUGAGGAUGAUAUAGAGCACUUACAUAAAUACCAAAAUCAGAUAAAUAUCUCUUCAAAGUUUAUUUUGAGACUUUCUUCAAAAAUUAAACUUCAGACUGUCCAGGAUAGCAUAAUAGCAUAGGAGGCAAAUUAAGAAGAAUUAAUUUACUUACAAGAAGAGAUAUCACAAACAUUAAACUCUCUUAUGGCAUUGAUUUGAAAGAUGGGUAUAUGUACAAUGAUGAUGCAACCAGUGUUUAUUUUUGGGUUGAAUGCUUACAGAUUAUUUAUUUUUUCCAAUAUUAUUUUACAAACAACAGGGCAUACUAAUGGAUAUUCAUUCUGAAUUUAACAUUUAUGAUUUUUGUCUUAUUUUCCUUAAUACUGUGCCAAAAGGAAAUGUUAAUUAAGUUUGGCAAAUCCUUUAUCGCAAUCGAUGGAACUCAUGGGCUCAAUUCCUAUGACUUUGAACUUAUGACAGUAUUAGUAAAAGAUGAAUUUGGGAAUGGA